RNAcentral lists this ribosomal RNA (488 nucleotides) under uncultured bacterium. RNAcentral's name for it is "partial 16S ribosomal RNA". It matches the Rfam family "Bacterial small subunit ribosomal RNA", at positions 28 to 507 of the family's 1533-position model. The record is from RNAcentral.
GACGAACGCUGGCGGCGUGCUUAACACAUGCAAGUCGAACGGAAAGGCCCUGCUUUUGUGGGGUGCUCGAGUGGCGAACGGGUGAGUAACACGUGAGUAACCUGCCCUUGACUUUGGGAUAACUUCAGGAAACUGGGGCUAAUACCGGAUAGGAGCUUCUGCUGCAUGGUGGGGGUUGGAAAGUUUCGGCGGUUGGGGAUGGACUCGCGGCUUAUCAGCUUGUUGGUGGGGUAGUGGCUUACCAGGGCUUUGACGGGUAGCCGACCUGAGAGAGUGACCGGCCGCACUGGAGGUGAGACACCGUCCUGAGGCCUACGGGAGGCAGCAGUCGCGAACGGGCGGCAGUGGGGGAAAGUCUGACGGAGCGGCGCCGCGUGUGUGAUGGCGGGCCCCGGUGCGGAAAACUCUCUUAUGGGUGAAAAACAUCUGUGUAAGGAACUGUGCAGAGCUUGACGGUACCGAAUAAGAAAGCCCCGGCUAACUACGUG